This 876-nucleotide ribosomal RNA is filed under the name uncultured archaeon. RNAcentral describes it as "bacterial SSU rRNA". It matches the Rfam family "Archaeal small subunit ribosomal RNA", at positions 445 to 1319 of the family's 1478-position model. The record is from RNAcentral.
GGCAAGACCGGUGCCAGCCGCCGCGGUAACACCGGCAGCCCGAGUGUUGAUCACUAUUAUUGGGUCUAAAGGGUCCGUAGCCGGUUUAAUCAGUCUUCUGGGAAAUCUAAUCGCUUAACUAUUAGGCUUCCAGGGGAUACUGUUAGACUUGGGACCGGGAGAGGUAAGAGGUACUGCAGGGGUAGGAGUGAAAUCUUGUAAUCCCUGUGAGACCACCAGUGGCGAAGGCGUCUUACCAGAACGGGUCCGACGGUGAGGGACGAAAGCUGGGGGCACGAACCGGAUUAGAUACCCGGGUAGUCCCAGCUGUAAACGAUGCUCGUUAGGUGUCAGGAACGGUGCGACUGUUUCUGGUGCCGGAGGGAAGCCGUGAAACGAGCCACCUGGGAAGUACGGCCGCAAGGCUGAAACUUAAAGGAAUUGGCGGGGGAGCACUACAACGGGUGGAGCCUGCGGUUUAAUUGGACUCAACGCCGGAAAACUCACCGGGGGCGACAGCAAUAUGUAGGUCAGGUUAAAGGUCUUACCUGAAUCGCUGAGAGGAGGUGCAUGGCCGUCGUCGGUUCGUACUGUGGAGCAUCCUGUUAAGUCAGGCAACGAGCAAGACCCGUGCCCACUGUUACCAGCAUAUCCUUUAUGGAUGAUGGGGACUCUGUGGGGACCGCUGCUGCUAAAGCAGAGGAAGGUGCGGGCUACGGUAGGUCAGUAUGCCCCGAAUCUCCCGGGCUACACGCGGGCUACAAUGGUUGGGACAAUGGGUAUCUACUCCGAAAGGAGUUGGCAAUCUCUUAAACCCAAUCGUAGUUCGAAUUGAGGGCUGUAACUCGCCCUCAUGAAGCUGGAAUCCGUAGUAAUCGCGUUUCAACAUAGCGCGGU